CCUACGGGUGGCAGCAGUGAGGAAUAAUGGUCAAUGGCCGGAAGGCUGAACCAGCCAAGCCGCGUGAAGGACGAAGGUGCCAAGCAUUGUAAACUUCUUUUGUCAAGGGACAAAAUCAGGCUCGAGAGCCUGACCGAGGGUACUUGAAGAACAAGCAACGGCUAACUCCGUGCCAGCAGCCGCGGUAAUACGGGGGAUGCGGGCGUUAUCGGGAUUUAUGGGGUUUAAGGGGUGCGUAGGCGGGCUGUUAGGUCAGCGGUAAAAGCCCGGGGCUCAACCCCGGCGAGCCGUUGAAACUGGCUGACUUGAGAUGUCGAGAGGUAUGCGGAAUGCGCAGUGUAGCGGUGAAAUGCUUAGAUAUUGCGCAGAACUCCGAUUGCGAAGGCAGCAUACCGGCGGCGAUCUGACGCUGAGGCACGAAGGCGUGGGUAUCGAACAGGAUUAGAUACCCCAGUAGUC
RNAcentral lists this ribosomal RNA (459 nucleotides) under uncultured bacterium. Its description in RNAcentral is "partial 16S ribosomal RNA". It matches the Rfam family "Bacterial small subunit ribosomal RNA", at positions 338 to 795 of the family's 1533-position model. The record is from RNAcentral.